RNAcentral lists this ribosomal RNA (608 nucleotides) under Candidatus Bathyarchaeota archaeon. Its description in RNAcentral is "bacterial SSU rRNA". It matches the Rfam family "Archaeal small subunit ribosomal RNA", at positions 1 to 584 of the family's 1478-position model. Lineage: Archaea; Thermoproteati; Candidatus Bathyarchaeota. The record is from RNAcentral.
ACUCCGGUUGAUCCUGCCGGACCCUACUGCUAUCGGGAUAGGGCUAAGACAUGCUAGUUGUGCGUCUCCAAGCCAUGGUGAAGGCGCAGCACACAGCUCAGUAGCACGUGGCUAACUUACCCUUGGGACAGAAACAACCCCGGGAAACUGGGGUUAAUUUCUGAUAGGUGAGGACUCCUGGAAUGGAUCUUCGUCUAAAGGAUGCUUAGACCAUGCUUCUAGGUAUUGCCCAAGGAUAGGGCCGCGGCCGAUCAGGUUGUUGGUGAGGUAACGGCUCACCAAGCCUUUAACCGGUGCGGGCCGUGAGAGCGGGAGCCCGGAGAUGGGCACUGAGACAAGGGCCCAGGCCCUACGGGGCGCAGCAGUCGCGAAAACUCUGCAAUACGCGAAAGCGUGACAGGGCUAUCCCGAGUGCCGUCCGCUGAGGAUGGCUUUUCCCCAGUGUAGGUAGCUGGGGGAAUAAGGAGAGGGCAAGUCUGGUGUCAGCCGCCGCGGUAAUACCAGCUCUCCGAGUGGUGGGGAUACUUAUUGGGCCUAAAGCAUCCGUAGCCUGCUGGGCAAGUCCUCCGUUAAAUCCUGCGAUUUAAUCGUUGGGCUGCGGGGGAUAC